This 273-nucleotide ribosomal RNA is filed under the name uncultured bacterium. RNAcentral's name for it is "partial 16S ribosomal RNA". It matches the Rfam family "Bacterial small subunit ribosomal RNA", at positions 524 to 796 of the family's 1533-position model. The record is from RNAcentral.
GACGAAGGGGGCUAGCGUUGUUCGGAUUUACUGGGCGUAAAGAGCGCGUAGGCGGCUUGAUAAGUUGGAAGUGAAAUCCCAGGGCUCAACCCUGGAACUGCUUUCAAAACUGUCAAGCUAGAGUAUGGUAGGGGGUGAUGGAAUUCCUAGUGUAGAGGUGAAAUUCUUAGAUAUUAGGAGGAACACCGGUGGCGAAGGCGGUCACCUGGGCCAUUACUGACGCUGUGGCGCGAAAGCGUGGGGAGCAAACAGGAUUAGAUACCCGGGUAGUCC